Molecule: long non-coding RNA, 523 nt
Filed under: Homo sapiens (human)
Lineage: Eukaryota; Metazoa; Chordata; Mammalia; Primates; Hominidae
Description: non-protein coding lnc-CCDC82-7:1
Source: RNAcentral
AUGAGGGUGAGGAACAGGAAAGAAGGAAAUUUGGGGAAAUGGGGUGAAUGUCAGGUGGAUCAGAGAGAUACAGUCGUGGGGGUCAGGCGUGGUAUCAGGAAUAAUGUGGGAGGCCGGACUGAAGUCCGGGCCAGGAACAACGGUAAUUGUGGGAGACUCAAAAAAGAGUGAGUAUAGCUGAAGGAGCUGGGGAGCAGAAAUUUUAAGUUUUUAAGAACACAGGCCAAGGGAGUAGAAGGAGGAAUGGAGGGUGGAAGGUUGCCCAUAGUGAAGGAAGCAAGCCUAGAGAAAAGAGAGUAGAGAAACGGAGGGAAGGGUCGGGGGUUCUUAUCUUCCAGAAAAGUGGGAAAAGGGGUUGGGGCGCAGAGAUAAGAGGUUGGGGCACAGAAGUAAGGGAUUGGGGCACAGAGAUAAGAGGUUGGGGCGUGGAAAUGGAUUGGGGUGCAGAGAUAAGAGGUUGGGGUGCAGAAAUAAGGGAUUGGGGCACAGAGAUAGGUUGGGGCAUGGAAAUAAGGGAUUGGGG